This 609-nucleotide ribosomal RNA is filed under the name Triticum aestivum (bread wheat). Its description in RNAcentral is "partial small subunit ribosomal RNA". Lineage: Eukaryota; Viridiplantae; Streptophyta; Magnoliopsida; Poales; Poaceae. The record is from RNAcentral.
UGUUUCAACUGUGGGCUACCCAGACAUUAUGUGGGUAUGUGCCAGAUUCCUAGGAAGUGUUUCAUGUGUGUUGUUCCUGGGCACCAUAUGGAUGCUUGCCCCCUGUGGUACAAGCCCUACCCAGCAGCUCAGUUCUGGGGUAGUGCUGGGAAUGGCUUGGGCUUCUUUCAUCUUGAGGCUGGAGAAAAAAGCAACAGUGACUGGCUGAAUUUUGGAACUGUGGAUCUUGUGGUUAUUGAAGAAGGAGAAAUUUCUGCUGAGGAACUGGGUGCUUGCUUCACUAGCAUGUGGAAAACCAACUGGCCCUGGCAGAUUAGAGCCUAUGAUGAGUCCCAAUACCUAGUCAGAUUCCCCUCUAACAAGAAAAUCACUGAUUUAGUUGCUUAUGACUCCAUCAACCUCAAGAAGAAAGGGGUCUCAAUUUCUUUUAAGAAUUGGCAUGGAGAGUUGCCUGCUUAUGACUCCCUGACUGAGAUUUGGGUGGAAAUUGUGGGUCUGCCUCCUGUGUGGUGUUCUUGGUCUGUGAUUGCCCCCAAGUUGCUGCUACUUUGGGUGUCAUUACUAACAUUGAUUGGCAUGGGAUUUUCAGUAGUUUUUAUGAGGUGGUGA